UGCAGAGGUGCCUUUUGUCUGGCAAGGGGAGCACAGGUGGGGGAUGGGGCUGGCCCCAGCCAGGACAUUGUCUGUGUCACUCAGCAGCAGACUGACUGGCGCCUGCUGCCUGGCCAGCAAUGCUGACCCCUCUGCCUGCCCUAGCCAAUAUUUGAGGUCAGGAGGCAAGUACAGCAUCUGUGGGCAGACGACAGGGCCAAUGGGGUUCUCCUCCAGGCCUUCUGCUGCCACUCUGCUUCCUGAAGCCAGGAGGCCCAGUUCAGGUGCUCCGCCAGGGCUCCCGUGGUCCUGCCUGCAGGGGCGAGGUAGCAGGACCCCCUUGUUUAGCCUCUGCUGCAUCCUUAGCUGCAGCAGGGAGCCUGCCAGGCAGGUGUGCGACAGGCAGGACAGCGAUGUCUUCCUGCAUGACAGAAGGGGAAACUGAGGCCCAGAGUGAUGCAGCCCGGGACCUCCCAGGACAAGGUCCAAGCUCUUACCUCAGAUACAAACUCAUCUGGAAGCAUUAAAACAAUGGAAGCAGGUGAGAGCAGAGAGAUCCCGAGCGCAGGUGAGGUGGGGUCCCUGAGGCGGGCUCAAAAGCUGCUUCCCAAGGCAGGGGGGCCCCUAUGUGCCCUCUGAGAGCACAGCCUGCAGACAGAGUCCAGACGUCUCAGGCAGGCCUUUGAGGCCUUCGUGUCAAAGCCCAGUUCUACCACAUCCUAGGGUUAUACUUUCGGCCUGGUGGGAGUCGCUGGUCCCCAGUUGACAGUGUCAUUGGGAAAGUCCAGUGGUAGACCCCGGCACAGCAGGCGCUCAGCAGUGCAGCAGUAUCAUUGCUUAGCCCCACCUCCCUUUCCAGACUCUGCACCCCUCCUCAGGCUCAGAGCAAGGGCCUGCCCCUGCCCCUCCACCGCCCCCUCCUCACUUACCCCUGCGACUCUGCCCAAGCAAGACCUCCCCCUGGAAUUCAUUCAUUUAUCAACUCAUUAUGCAGCCAGCCAGCCAUCGUUUCUUUUUUAUCCACUUUUUCUGAGGGCCUGCUGUGCGCCAGCUGCUGGAGACAUGAAGACAUCGAAGACCCCAGGCCUUGACCUCCAAGAGCCCCCAGUUUGGUGGAAGAAACAAACAAGGAGACUGCAAAACACACCCUGUGAUGGGGAGGGUUGAGGUGGCCAGUGGGAGAGGCGAGCUGGCAGGGCUCAGUGGUGAGGUGAAGGUGUGGGAGCAGGGACACAGCAUGAAGGAGUAGAUGGCCAGGUUGAGCUUUGCAGGCUCCAGGGGGAGGAUAAAGAGCUGACACCUGGAACGUGCUUGGAACAGCAGGUGCUCGGUCAGUGCAGCCACGACCAUCCCGUCCUGCAUCCCCACCAUGAACUUGGACCUUCUGGAAGGACCUUGCUUAUCCCAGCAUCCACACAUCCUUGACCAGACCUGGUCAACAUUUGCUUAGAACCGCCUGGCUGCUGGGAUGAGAAGAGACUGGAGAGAGACCACGAUGGAAGCCAGGAGGCCAACGAGGAGUUGGGGUAGUCCUCCAGGGAGACAUGAUGUGGCUUCAGCCCCAGUGGUGAUGGCGGGGUAGAGCCAGCAGGGUUCUGAACUGAGUGGAUGUGAAAUGAGGGAAAGAGGGAUGCUGCGGUCGGCAGAAUCGUGCCUCCCGCAAAGAUGCCCCAUCCUAACCCGUCACCCUUGACAGUGAGACCUCCACCACAAAGGGGACUUUGCAGGCAUGAAGGUUAAGGACCCUGAGAGGAGGAGAUGGCCCUGGACUGUCUGGCGGGCCCAGCAUCAUCACAAGGGUGCUUAUAAGUGGAGGAGGAGGCAGGGGGAGCCGAGCAGAUGUGAGGAUAGAAGCAGAGGUCGGAGGGACGUGCUGUUGGCUUGAGAUGGAGGAGGACCUAUGAGCCAAGGAGCAUGGGCGGCCUCUGGAAGCCAGAAAGGGCAAGGCCUCUUCCCGGAGCCUCCAGCAGAACCCAGCCCCGCUGCCACCUCGACUGCAGAACGGUGACACCGUGUCCGAUUCCCGACCUCCAGAACCGUGAGAUAACACGUGUGCUGUUUUAAGCCACUGCAAUUGUGGUAUUUGUCACAGCAGCCAUAGGAAACUGUACGGGGGUUAAAGAGGACCUGCUGACCUCUGAGCUCACACUGAAGCCUCCUGGAAUGCUGUGGGUUGUGAGCUGGGAUGAGAACGCAGCAUGGAGAUGAAAGACGCAUCCACCCAGGAAGGCCCACUGGCAUCGCAAUCUCAGGGAAGAUUCCCAGGCUGAAAAAAGAGAAAGUGGCUGGGGUGGCACUGAAUGCCCCACGUCAAAGAAAUGGCACCCAAGCCGUCCGUCAGUCCCUCACCUGCCACACAGACAGCACCUUGGACCCAGCAAGAUGUCACUCACCACAUUGAUGCUGUCCACAGGCAUCGCCUUGCUUUUGCAGCUCUGUGUGAGAUUUGUCAGCUUGGUUUGGGUCUGGGGCUGUAUUAGAGCUGUCAGCCUAGGAGCCUACCCUAGUUUUGUGUCUGCACUAUUUCCAAAGCACUGGAAUAAAAGGCAUUUUAACCAACACCAGGAACCCACGGGAAUCUUUUCAAAGGAUCUGCAUCAGAUCAGCCUAAGGAACACUGCUGUCGGUGAUGAAAUCUGUUGAGGAUUCGAAGCUGGCGUGUGGUGCACGCAAAUUCCUUUUUUCUUUUUUAAUCAAUGAUUAGAUGAUUCCUUAGAGCAGUUUUAGGUUCACUGCAAAACUGAACAGAAAGUGCAGAAUUCCCAUAUCCCACCUUCCCAAACACACACACAGUUUCCUCUGUGACUAACAUCUUGCAUCUUGUGGUACAUUUGUUACAAUUGAGGAACCAAUAUUGACCCAUUAUUAUAAAGUCAGUAGGUGACAUAAGC
RNAcentral lists this long non-coding RNA (2870 nucleotides) under Homo sapiens (human). Its description in RNAcentral is "HSALNT0363592". Lineage: Eukaryota; Metazoa; Chordata; Mammalia; Primates; Hominidae. The record is from RNAcentral.